AGCGAACGCUGGCGGCAGGCUUAACACAUGCAAGUCGAGCGGGCGUAGCAAUACGUCAGCGGCAGACGGGUGGGUAACGCGUGGGAACAUACCUUUUGGUUCGGAACAACACAGGGAAACUUGUGCUAAUACCGGAUAAGCCCUUACGGGGAAAGAUUUAUCGCCGAAAGAUUGGCCCGCGUCUGAUUAGCUAGUUGGUGAGGUAAUGGCUCACCAAGGCGACGAUCAGUAGCUGGCUGAGAGGAUGAUCAGCCACAUU
RNAcentral lists this ribosomal RNA (259 nucleotides) under uncultured bacterium. Its description in RNAcentral is "partial 16S ribosomal RNA". It matches the Rfam family "Bacterial small subunit ribosomal RNA", at positions 29 to 314 of the family's 1533-position model. The record is from RNAcentral.